RNAcentral lists this ribosomal RNA (496 nucleotides) under uncultured bacterium. RNAcentral describes it as "bacterial SSU rRNA". It matches the Rfam family "Bacterial small subunit ribosomal RNA", at positions 8 to 518 of the family's 1533-position model. The record is from RNAcentral.
AGAGUUUGAUCAUGGCUCAGGACGAACACUGGCGGCGUGCCUAACACAUGCAAGUCGAGCGAGGAGAUUCCUUCGGGAUGAUCCUAGCGGCGGACGGGUGAGUAACACGUGGGCAACCUGCCUCAUAGAGAGGAAUAGCCUUCCGAAAGGGAGAUUAAUACCUCAUAACAUUGCAGUUUCGCAUGGAACAGCAAUUAAAGGAGCAAUCCGCUAUGAGAUGGGCCCGCGGCGCAUUUAGCUAGUUGGUGAGGUAACGGCUCACCAAGGCGACGAUGCGUAGCCGACCUGAGAGGGUGAUCGGCCACAUUGGGACUGAGACACGGCCCAGACUCCUACGGGAGGCAGCAGUGGGGAAUAUUGCACAAUGGGGGAAACCCUGAUGCAGCCAACGCCGCGUGAGUGAUGACGGCCUUCGGGUUGUAAAGGCUCUGUCUUCAGGGACGAUAAUGACAGUACCUGAGGAGGAAGCCACGGCUAACUACGUGCCAGCCGCUGC